RNAcentral lists this ribosomal RNA (405 nucleotides) under uncultured archaeon. RNAcentral describes it as "bacterial SSU rRNA". It matches the Rfam family "Archaeal small subunit ribosomal RNA", at positions 88 to 492 of the family's 1478-position model. The record is from RNAcentral.
GCUCAGUAACACGUAGUCAACUUACCCUAUGGACGAGGAUAAUCUCGGGAAACUGAGCAUAAUACUCGAUAGAUCAUAAUGCCUGGAAUGGUUUAUGGUUAAAAUGAUUCGUCGCCGUAGGAUGGGACUGCGGCCUAUCAGCUUGUUGGUGAGGUAAUGGCCCACCAAGGCGAUUACAGGUACGGGCUCUGAGAGGAGAAGCCCGGAGAUGGGUACUGAGACAAGGACCCAGGCCCUAUGGGGCGCAGCAGGCGAGAAAACUUUGCAAUGUGCGAAAGCACGACAAGGUUAAUCCGAGUGAUUUCUGCUAAAGAAAUCUUUUGCAAGUCAUAAAACCACUAGUGAAUAAGGGGUGGGCAAGUUCUGGUGUCAGCCGCCGCGGUAAACCAGCACCUCAAGUGGUCA